CCAAAAGUAUCAAUGAAGAAAAUAUCCAAGAUUAAUAUGUAAUAUAAGGAAAUAACCCUCUAAUAGAGCUAUAAUGCAAACAUACACAUAAUAAUAAUAAUGGAUUAUGCAAAGAAACCAAAAUUAGCACCUUAACCACGCCACACACAUACGAGAUAAAAACAUUAUUUGAGAUUCCUUAUUAUCUACUUUACGAGUUAAAAACUAUGCAAAGUUUACUAAUUUCUCCUUCACUUCCAGUCAACACAUCAAUUUUCCCCAUCUUUACUACUGCACCAACAAAUUUCUCGCAAAAGUUCUCUCCGUUAGCAGCCAAACUUGUUACCACUUCUUUUAAUAUAGAAUCCAGAGCCAGGUUUUGAUCAAUCGUUAUCACUCCUCUCCUCAAAAGAAUUUGAUUGUAAAAUUCAUUGUCAAACACAAAUGGUGUCUUUUGAUCCAAAAAGACUAUUGGAUCUUUCCCUUUAACGCAACAAAAUUCAAAUAAAUUAUUUCUAAAAUCGCGAUACAUUGAGAAACUUUCAUUUUUAAUCCUACUUUCAAUGAAGCUGCAAUGUGUGAAACCAAUAGUGUGAGCUCCUAGUAGGGUAACCAUCUAUUCCAUUGACAUGCCUUUGGAAUUGAAAAUUUGCGAUGCAUAUGAACUAGAGGUCGCAGUCUUUGAAGGUUUACUUCAUUAACUAUUGCAACCAAUCCAUCGUGUCUUCCUGUAGGCACAUUGUAGCCUGGUCCACCUGCUAAAGCAACAGAGUCUCUUGUUGCUAGUGCAAUAUAUGUUUGUACAAUAAAUUGUUGCUGGACAUGCAUUUUUCGGGACUUCUUUUAUUUCAUCAAUGAGUUCGAAUCCUCUUUGUGUCCCAUUUGCUCCAGAUUCUUUCUCAGAUUGAUUACCCUUUUGAGAAUCGAUUAAAAUGGAUGCAUCACAACCCUAAUAUUAAAUAAAAAAUAUUUGUUAAUGAAAGUAGGGGUGUCAAAAUGGAUGGAUUGACUGAAUUUGGAUUGAAUUGCUAAUAGAUGGAUCAAAAUAAUUUAUUAAUCCAUUAGAGAUAAAAUUCAAUCCAAUAAAUCCAUUAUCUUCUUUCCAACGGAUGGAUAUCCAAUCCAUCCAACAAAAUUAAUCGAAAUAUUACUGUUUAAUUUGAUAAAAAACUAAAUAUUAUUUUUUUAAUUUCAUAAAAAACUUAUGAUUGAAAUUUGUAAUUUUUAAUUAACAAAUGUAAUUUUUAAUUCAAAUAUUUUUUAAUUGAAAUGAUAAUUUAGUAAUUAUUUCAAAAACAUUUUUUUUAAGGAUUGAUGUAUAAUCUAAUCAACACAAAUUUCUUUUUAUACUAAUCCCAAAUAUCAUUUUAGUGAGCCCACUAAUCCAUUAUAUUCUUUUUACACCAAUUUAUUUUUAACUUAUGUGUAUGUGCGUGCAUUCGCGUGUGCGUGUUAAAAUAAAUAAAUUAAAAAAUUAUUAUAACUAAUUUUUAAAAUAUAUAGACUUAUACUCUUAUUGUAAAAAAAAAACACUUAGACUCUUAUUCUCUUAAUAGCGAAAUCUAUUUAAAAAAUUAAAAGUUAUUAGAGAGAUUCUAACAAUCGAAAAUAUAAUAUUUAACUUUUCUUUAACAUUAUAUAUUUUUAAUGGAAACUCAAUAUGAAAUAAUUGCAUUAAGAAUUUGGGGUACCAAAAGUAUCAAUAAAGAAAAUAUCCAAGAUUAAUACGUAAUAUAAGGAAAUAACCCUCUAAUAGAGCUAUAAUGCAAACAUACACAUAAUAAUAAUGGAUCUUGCAAAGAGACCAAAAUCAACAUCAUAACCACGCCACACACAUACGAGAUAAAAGCAUUAUUUGAGAUUUUUUAUUGUCUACUUUACGAGUUAAAAACUCUGCAAUUUUUUCUAAUUUCCCCUUCAUUUCCAGUCAACACAUCAAUUUUUCCCAUCUUGACUACCGCACCAACAAAUUUCUCCCUAAAGCUCACUCCAUUAGCAGCCAAACUUGUUACCACUUCUUUUGAGAUAGAAUCCAGAGCCAGAUUUUGAUCAAUCGAUAGCACUCCUCUCCUCAAAAGAAUUUCAUUGUAAAAUUCAUUGUCAAACACAAAUGGUGUCUUCUGAUCCAAAACCACUGUUGGAUCUCUCUCUUUAAUGCCACAAACUUCAAAUAAUUUAUUUCUCAAAUCACCAUCCAUUGAGAAACUUUCAUUUUUAAUCCUACUUUCAAUGAAGCUGCAAUGCGUGAUACCAACGGUGUGAGCUCCAAGUAGAGUAACCAUCUCUUCCAUUGUCAUGCCUUUGGAAUUGAAAAUUUUGAAUGCAUCUGAAACAGAGAUCUCUGGUGUUGGAAGUUUUACUUCAUUAAUGCUUGAAACUAAUCCGUCCCGUCUUCCUGUAGGCACAUUGUAGCUUGGUCCACCAGCUAAAGCAACAGAAUCUCUUGUUGCUAAUGCAAUUAUGUCUGCACAAGAAACUGUUGCCAGACAUGCAUUUUCCAGGACUUUUUUUAUUUCAUCAAUGAGGUUGAAUCCUCUAACUGUCCGAUUUGCUACAGAUUCUUUCUCUGAUUGAUUACCCUUUUUUGAAUCUAUUAAAAUGGAUGCAUCACACC
RNAcentral lists this long non-coding RNA (2593 nucleotides) under Trifolium pratense (red clover). Its description in RNAcentral is "long non-coding RNA (TPRA_LNC014258)". The record is from RNAcentral. Lineage: Eukaryota; Viridiplantae; Streptophyta; Magnoliopsida; Fabales; Fabaceae.